GGAUUAGAUACCCUGGUAGUCCACGCCGUAAACGAUGAGGGCUAGUUGUCGGGAGGCAUGCCGUUCGGUGACGCAGCUAACGCAUUAAGCCCUCCGCCUGGGGAGUACGGUCGCAAGAUUAAAACUCAAAGGAAUUGACGGGGGCCCGCACAAGCGGUGGAGCAUGUGGUUUAAUUCGAUGCAACGCGAAGAACCUUACCAGGCCUUGACAUCCUUGGAAUUCUGCAGAGAUGCGGAAGUGCCUUCGGGAAUCAAGUGACAGGUGCUGCAUGGCUGUCGUCAGCUCGUGUCG
Molecule: ribosomal RNA, 292 nt
Filed under: uncultured bacterium
Lineage: Bacteria
Description: partial 16S ribosomal RNA
Rfam family: Bacterial small subunit ribosomal RNA
Source: RNAcentral